RNAcentral lists this transfer RNA (73 nucleotides) under Salmo salar (Atlantic salmon). It matches the Rfam family "tRNA". From Rfam's summary of the family: Transfer RNA (tRNA) molecules are approximately 80 nucleotides in length. Their secondary structure includes four short double-helical elements and three loops (D, anti-codon, and T loops). Further hydrogen bonds mediate the characteristic L-shaped molecular structure. tRNAs have two regions of fundamental functional importance: the anti-codon, which is responsible for specific mRNA codon recognition, and the 3' end, to which the tRNAs corresponding amino acid is attached (by aminoacyl-tRNA synthetases). tRNAs cope with the degeneracy of the genetic code in two manners: having more than one tRNA (with a specific anti-codon) for a particular amino acid; and 'wobble' base-pairing, i.e. permitting non-standard base-pairing at the 3rd anti-codon position. Lineage: Eukaryota; Metazoa; Chordata; Actinopteri; Salmoniformes; Salmonidae. The record is from Rfam by way of RNAcentral.
UUCCCUGUAGCUCAGUUGGUAGAGCGUGGUGUUUGCAACGCCAGGGUUGUGGGUUCGAUUCCCACGGGGGGGG